RNAcentral lists this ribosomal RNA (458 nucleotides) under uncultured bacterium. Its description in RNAcentral is "bacterial SSU rRNA". It matches the Rfam family "Bacterial small subunit ribosomal RNA", at positions 30 to 491 of the family's 1533-position model. The record is from RNAcentral.
AUUGAACGCUGGCGGCAGGCCUAACACAUGCAAGUCGAGCGGAAACGAGUUAUUUGAACCUUCGGGGGACGAUAAUGGCGUCGAGCGGCGGACGGGUGAGUAAUGCCUAGGAAAUUGCCCUGAUGUGGGGGAUAACCAUUGGAAACGAUGGCUAAUACCGCAUAACGCCUACGGGCCAAAGAGGAGGACCUUCGGGCUUCUCGCGUCGGGAUGGGCCCAGUUGGGAUUAGCUAGUUGGUGAGGUAAUGGCUCACCAAGGCGACGAUCCCUAGCUGGUUUGAGAGGAUGAUCAGCCACACUGGAACUGAGACACGGCCCAGACUCCUACGGAGGCAGCAGUGAGGAAUAUUGCACAAUGGGCGAAAGCCUGAUGCAGCCAUGCCGCGUGAAUGAAGAAGGUUUUCGGACUGUAAAGUUCUUUCAGUGGUGAGAAUAGUGAUGUUAACCACAGAAGAAGU